Molecule: ribosomal RNA, 301 nt
Filed under: uncultured bacterium
Lineage: Bacteria
Description: partial 16S ribosomal RNA
Rfam family: Bacterial small subunit ribosomal RNA
Source: RNAcentral
CAGCCGCCGCGGUAAUUCGAAGGGGGCUAGCGUUGUUCGGAUUUACUGGGCGUAAAGGGCGCGUAGGCGGACUGAUAAGUCAGGGGUGAAAUCCCAAGGCUCAACCUUGGAACUGCCUUUGAUACUGUUUGUCUUGAGUUCGAGAGAGGUAAGUGGAACUGCGAGUGUAGAGGUGAAAUUCGUAGAUAUUCGCAAGAACACCAGUGGCGAAGGCGGCUUACUGGCUCGAAACUGACGCUGAGGCGCGAAAGCGUGGGGAGCAAACAGGAUUAGAUACCCCUGUAGUCCCUGUCUCUUAUAC